RNAcentral lists this ribosomal RNA (433 nucleotides) under uncultured bacterium. RNAcentral's name for it is "partial 16S ribosomal RNA". It matches the Rfam family "Bacterial small subunit ribosomal RNA", at positions 30 to 507 of the family's 1533-position model. The record is from RNAcentral.
AACGAACGCUGGCGGCAUGCCUAACACAUGCAAGUCGAACGAGACCUUCGGGUCUAGUUGCGCACGGGUGCGUAACGCGUGGGAACCUGCCCUUAGGUUCGGAAUAACUCCCCGUAAGGGGUGCUAAUACCGGAUAAUGUCUUCUGACCAACGAUUUAUCGCCUUUGUAUGGUCCCGCGUUGGAUUCGCUUGUUGGUAGGGUAAAAGCCUAACAAGGCGACGAUCCAUAGCUGGUAUGAGAGGAUGAUCAGCCACACUGGGACUGAGACACGGAACAGACUAGUACGGGAGGAAGGAGAGGGGAAUAUUGGAAAAGGGGGGAAAGGAUGAUUAAGCAAUGACGGGAGAGAGAUGAAGGAAUUAGGGAAGUAAAGCGGAGUUAACCGGGAAGAUAAUGAAAGUACCGGGAGAAUAAGCACCGGCUAACUACGUG